CCCUUAGACGUUCUGGGCCGCACGCGCGCUACACUGACCAGUGCAACAAGCAUCCGUCCUUGGCCGACAGGCCCAGGCAAUCUUUGAACGCUGGUCGUGAUGGGGAUAGACUUUUGCAAUUUUUGGUCUUCAACGAGGAAUUCCUAGUAAACGCAAGUCAUCAACUUGCAUUGAUUACGUCCCUGCCCUUUGUACACACCGCCCGUCGCACCUACCGAUUGAAUGGUCCGGUGAAGCCUCCGGAUUGGCGCGCACCUCGGUGCCGCCGAGAAGUUGGCUAAACCUUACCAUUUAGAGGAAGGUGAAGUCGUANCA
Molecule: ribosomal RNA, 315 nt
Filed under: uncultured eukaryote
Lineage: Eukaryota
Description: partial 18S ribosomal RNA
Rfam family: Eukaryotic small subunit ribosomal RNA
Source: RNAcentral